UGCAAGUCGAGCGAAUGGAUUGAGAGCUUGCUCUUAUGAAGUUAGCGGCGGACGGGUGAGUAACACGUGGGUAACCUGCCCAUAAGACUGGGAUAACUCCGGGAAACCGGGGCUAAUACCGGAUAACAUUUUGAACUGCAUGGUUCGAAAUUGAAAGGCGGCUUCGGCUGUCACUUAUGGAUGGACCCGCGUCGCAUUAGCUAGUUGGUGAGGUAACGGCUCACCAAGGCAACGAUGCGUAGCCGACCUGAGAGGGUGAUCGGCCACACUGGGACUGAGACACGGCCCAGACUCCUACGGGAGGCAGCAGUAGGGAAUCUUCCGCAAUGGACGAAAGUCUGACGGAGCAACGCCGCGUGAGUGAUGAAGGCUUUCGGGUCGUAAAACUCUGUUGUUAGGGAAGAACAAGUGCUAGUUGAAUAAGCUGGCACCUUGACGGUACCUAACCAGAAAGCCACGGCUAACUACGUGCCAGCAGCCGCGGUAAUACGUAGGUGGCAAGCGUUAUCCGGAAUUAUUGGGCGUAAAGCGCGCGCAGGUGGUUUCUUAAGUCUGAUGUGAAAGCCCACGGCUCAACCGUGGAGGGUCAUUGGAAACUGGGAGACUUGAGUGCAGAAGAGGAAAGUGGAAUUCCAUGUGUAGCGGUGAAAUGCGUAGAGAUAUGGAGGAACACCAGUGGCGAAGGCGACUUUCUGGUCUGUAACUGACACUGAGGCGCG
Molecule: ribosomal RNA, 719 nt
Filed under: Bacillus anthracis (anthrax bacterium)
Lineage: Bacteria; Bacillati; Bacillota; Bacilli; Caryophanales; Bacillaceae
Description: bacterial SSU rRNA
Rfam family: Bacterial small subunit ribosomal RNA
Source: RNAcentral